Molecule: ribosomal RNA, 468 nt
Filed under: uncultured bacterium
Lineage: Bacteria
Description: partial 16S ribosomal RNA
Rfam family: Bacterial small subunit ribosomal RNA
Source: RNAcentral
GAUGAACGCUGGCGGCGUGCUUAACACAUGCAAGUCGAACGGACAGGUCCUGCUUUUGUGGGGUGCUCGAGUGCCGAACACGUGAGUAACACGUGAGUAUAAUCUACUUGUCUUUGUGAUAACUUCUGGAAACUCGGGCUCAUACACCAUAGGAUCUAUUGCUGCAUAGUGUGGGUUGGAAAGUGUCGGCGGUUGUGGAUGGACUCGCGGCUUAUCAGCUUGUUGGUCUGGUAGUGGCUUACCAAGUCUUUGACGGGUAGCCGGCCUUAGAGGGUGAACGGCGUCAAUGGGACUGAGAUACGCCCCAGACUGCUACGGGAGGCAGCAGUGGGAAAUAUGGCGGAAUGGGGGGAAGUCUGAGGCAGCAACGCCGGGAGCGUGAUGAUCUCUUUCUAGGGGUAAACCGCUGUCUCAUGUGACGAGGAGGGAGUGACGGUAAUGAGUAAAGAAGCAACGGCUAACUACGUG